Molecule: ribosomal RNA, 451 nt
Filed under: uncultured bacterium
Lineage: Bacteria
Description: partial 16S ribosomal RNA
Rfam family: Bacterial small subunit ribosomal RNA
Source: RNAcentral
GAUGAACGCUGGCGGCGUGCCUAACACAUGCAAGUCGAGCGGCAGCGAGGGGUGCUUGCACCCUGUCGGCGAGCGGCGGACGGCUGAGUAACGCGUGGGAACGUGCCCCAAAGUGAGGAAUAACUGCCCGAAAGGGUAGCUAAUACCGCAUCUUAUCUUCGGAUCAAAGGAUUUAUCCGCUUUGGGAGCGGCUCGCGUCGGAUUAGGUAGUUGUUGAGGUAAUGGCUCACCAAGCCGACGAUCCGUAGCUGGUCUGAGAGGAUGACCAGCCAGACUGGAACUGAGACACGGUCCAGACUCCUACGGGAGGCAGCAGUGAGGAAUCUUCCACAAUGGGCGAAAGGCUGAUGGAGCAACGCCGCGUGCAGGACGAAGGCCUUCGGGUUGUAAACUGCUUUUAUAAGUGAGGAAUAUGACGGUAACUUAUGAAUAAGGAUCGGCUAACUACGUG